RNAcentral lists this ribosomal RNA (616 nucleotides) under uncultured bacterium. RNAcentral's name for it is "bacterial SSU rRNA". It matches the Rfam family "Bacterial small subunit ribosomal RNA", at positions 169 to 803 of the family's 1533-position model. The record is from RNAcentral.
CCGCAUAAGCGCACGGUACCGCAUGGUACAGUGUGAAAAACUCCGGUGGUGUGAGAUGGAUCCGCGUCUGAUUAGGUAGUUGGUGAGGUAACGGCCCACCAAGCCGACGAUCAGUAGCCGACCUGAGAGGGUGACCGGCCACAUUGGGACUGAGACACGGCCCAAACUCCUACGGGAGGCAGCAGUGGGGAAUAUUGCACAAUGGGCGAAAGCCUGAUGCAGCAACGCCGCGUGAGUGAAGAAGUAUCUCGGUAUGUAAAGCUCUAUCAGCAGGGAAGAAAAUGACGGUACCUGACUAAGAAGCCCCGGCUAACUACGUGCCAGCAGCCGCGGUAAUACGUAGGGGGCAAGCGUUAUCCGGAUUUACUGGGUGUAAAGGGAGCGCAGACGGCACUGCAAGUCUGAAGUGAAAGCCCGGGGCUCAACCCCGGGACUGCUUUGGAAACUGUAGAGCUAGAGUGCUGGAGAGGCAAGCGGAAUUCCUAGUGUAGCGGUGAAAUGCGUAGAUAUUAGGAAGAACACCAGUGGCGAAGGCGGCUUGCUGGACAGUAACUGACGUUCAGGCUCGAAAGCGUGGGGAGCAAACAGGAUUAGAUACCCUGGUAGUCCACGCCGU